This 4060-nucleotide long non-coding RNA is filed under the name Homo sapiens (human). RNAcentral's name for it is "HSALNT0106251". Lineage: Eukaryota; Metazoa; Chordata; Mammalia; Primates; Hominidae. The record is from RNAcentral.
CACCGGGGGCCGCCCGGGGCUGCUCGGCAUUGGUGCGGAAACCCGAGCCCGGAGUCGCUCCCUCGCGCUGUCUCCUCCUCCUCCUCUGCGGGGGAAACCGCUGCACCCAAACCGGGAGCAGCUGCGAGCAGGGGGCAGGGCGCGGGCUGAAAGGCGAGCCGAAGGUUCAAACCUCCGCGGCGCGGGCGGGGGCGGAGGGCAACAGCAGGACGGCCCCCAGGUCCCGAGAAGGCGUGGCAGUGGUCGGCCCAGGUGUCAGGGAACCUGGCCUGAGACCCCUGCAUUUCCAAGCUUCUUUCCUGGUCAGAGGAAACGUGAACCAAAGGUAGUUCAGCUAAACAGACCACCUCGAGCCGGGUUCGAGGCAUCUGUCUCGAGGGCAAGACAGUAUUUUUUGCACGACAGAAAGUUACACCAUCCAUUUUUUUCCGUGGGGGAAAUCAUUGCGCCCCUUCCCCCAAAAUGUCGCGCAAGAAGAAUGACCUCCCGCUACCCAGACCUUCGCCAGUGUCCCCCACCCCACCCCCACCCGGGCGCUGGGUGUGGAUUGGGCGGAGGGAGGCUAUAUGGGAGCUUAAAGCAUGAGGUCAUGAGCGGAGGAGACUGCUGCCAAAAGCACCCGAGGUUUUUGUGUUUUUUGAGGGGUAACGGUUCUCCAUCUUCAGCAGUGGAAAGUCCUCCCGCCUACCCUACCAAUUCUGGGGCACGUGGACCACAGAGUCCCUGAAAAGAGGAGGGGACCCGGGCUAUUUCGCUUAAUGAGCGUUUGGCGCGUGCCCAGCCCUUUAUGGAGCCCUUCCACAUAAGCAAAGAAAGCCGAGGGACAGCGCACAGUGUUGCGGCGACUGGGAAAGGCUUCAGAUGCUCGAUGUCCCCCGCCCUCUUUCCUCAGUCCUCGGUCAUCUUCCAAGUGGGCUGCUUUCUGCGAUAGCUUCCUGUCCCCCUCCGACCCAUUCCUCCCAAGCGACUAAAACUCCUAAUGACAUUAUUUUAAAGCCUUCAAAACCCUCUUCCAUUGCCCUUAGAAUAAAGCCAAGUUGUGAUUUCGCCUCUACAGACCUCUCUACCCGCCCAGCUCUUCCUCGGAUAUUGUAAGCCCCGUCAAGCUUUCUUUGUUCAAGGGGUGGAGGAGGGGGCGCCUAACCUUUCCCCUUCCACCUCUUCUUACUAACUCCUGCUGGACCUUCAAGAUUUGACUCAACUGUCAGUAACUUCAAGAUGCCUUCCUGAGGGUACACCCAGGUCUCUACCUCAGGGGAAAAGACCUACCCUAGGUCUCCUGGCAGCAGCGCUGUGGCCGGAGUUGGCCCCAGUGGCGGCCUUUUUCCAAGCGGAGGAGGAACAGCCAAGCUAAGCUUGACCACCGUCACCGCCCAGGGACCUGAGCGGGAGCUGGCUAGGACAAAACCUCAAAACGGGACUUGGGAAAACCGCACCACCCAGAAAACUCAGCCCCUCCACCUCCCUCCCAGCACACACACACACCCUCUUAAUCUAAAACUCCUCCCCGGGGCAGAUAAGGAACCUAUUCGGAGAGUUAAGUUAAUUGCCCCAGGUCAAUGUGGAAAUUCACAGCCUGUCUUUCCAGCUCCUAAACCAGAAGCUGCAGAGAAGGAAGGAUUUGGGAUUUGCGGCUACACAGCCAAGGACGCUUUUGUCAUCUUCAAAGGACCCCCUACACCCUACACGCUUGGCCCGCUCUGUUCAUUGCCAACAGAGUGAUGGUAAUGCCAGAUGGUUAGCUCUGCAGGCUCUGACCUUAGGCAAAUUACUUAACCGCUUGGUUCAGUUUCUUUGCCUGUAAAAUGGGAAUGAUAGUAUUCAUAUCAUAGUGUUAUUGUGAGGUUUAAAUGAGUUAUUUUAUGUAAGGCCUUAGAGUUUAAAGCAAGUUACUAAUAUUUGUGAAUAGGGUUGUGUAUCCUCCCCCGCCCCGCCCCCCUCAGAUCCUCAGAGUCUUAGCUGAUUGAAGCAUCAGAAAAAUAUCUAUGGGGCCAGGCGGGGUGGCUCACACCUGUCAUCCCAGCGCUUUGGGCGGAUGAGGUAGGCGGAUCGCUUGAGCUGAGGAGUUUGAGACCAGCCUGGACAAUGUAGAGAGACCCUCUCCACGUUUAUUAUUAAAAAAUAAAAAAUUAGCCAGGCAUAGUGGUGCAUGCCUGUAGUCCCAGCUACUGAGGAGGCUAAGGCAGGAGGAUGGCUUGAGCCCACGGGGUUGAGGCUGCAGUGAGCAGAUUGCCCCACUGCACUCCAGCCUGGGUGACAGCGCAAGACUCUGUCUCAAAAAAUAAAAUUAUAUAUAUAGAGAGAGGGAGAGAGAGAGAGAGAAAGAGAGCACCAAAAGGACUGGGAAACACCGGCAGAUGCACAGACAAUGCAUCCCUGAUUUUACCAAUAGACUUGACUCCCAACAAUGCAUACUCUUGAAGGCAAUCCACAGGUUGAAUAAACCAAGUCCAUGAGCGCUGGGUCUGGAAUCUUUCUACAAUCAGGGUCAGAAGGAGGGUGACUGAAAUUAAAAUAUUAGCUUGGAUCUUUGAAAUCAGAGUCAGGCUGAAAAAGUCCCAAUCUUAGUUCAAAACCUGUCCUGCAUGACUGAAGCCCUCCUAGGGCUGCACAAAGUAUAAUGGAAUUAUUAUUAUUAUUAUCAUUAGAUCCUAGUCUUACCAUUCUCAGCACUUAUCCCCAUAGCAAAAGACCAUUUUUUAAUGUAAUUUAUUCUUUUGGAAUAGGUUGAAUGCAUUCACAUGGUUCCAAAUUCAAAUAAACAGCAAGAAGUCUCCCUCCCACCCUGUCUGCCACCCACUUGGUUUUCCUUCUCUGGAGGCAACCUGGGUUAGUGGUCAGAAGAUGCAUUUAACUGUUUUCCAGCUGAGGCCUUGUGAGAACUCCUCGGACACCAAUUUAAAUCUUUAUGUCCAGAACUCCUUUCUCCAAUCCAGAGAUGAGGUUCCACCAUUCUUGCCCAGACUGGUUUCGAACUCCUGGACUCAAGCGAUUUGCCUGCCUCGGCCUCAAAAAGUGCUGGGAUUACAUGCAUGAGCCACCACACCCGGACCCUCUCUCUUAAAUAGUGGCCCUUUUGCCUCUCUGCAACACAGGAAAAAUUCUGUUAGCCUGCAUCAGAAGGAGUGGCAUGGAGGCUUUGGAGUUAAGAAGAUUUAAUUCAAAUUAUGUGUCCGGUGCCUGCCAGCAAUGAGACCUUGGUAAGGUUUCUUAACCUCUCUGAGCUGGGACCAUACCUUCUGCGUUGGUUUAAUAUAAAGGUUAAAUGCAUGUAAAUAAAUGACUUCUAAAAUAAAUAACAUUCUAAAAUGUUAGUAACAACUAAAUACAAUAUUUAGAUCUUGUGAGGAUUUGAUUUGAAUAAAUAAGAUUUUUUUAAAAGACAUUUUUGAGACAAAAUGUAGACUAUCUGAUAUUAAGAAAUUAAUCACUUUUUCAGAUAUGAUAAUGGCAUUGCAGUUUUUUUUAAGUUCUUAUCUAUUACAGAUACAUAAUGAGGCAUUUUGAGUGAAAAUAUAUCUAGGAUUUGCUUUCCAAUACUCCAUCCCCUCCCCAUCAAAACACUAAAUAAAUGAAACAAGAUUAGUGAAAUACGGAAAAUUGUUGAAGUUAUUCAUUAUUCCAUUUCCCAUAUGGAACUUUCCAUACUAGUUUCCCUACUGCUGUUGAAUAUUUGACAUGUUUCAAAUACAUUUGAAAUAAAUUUAUUGUCUGAGAUGAUCAGGUUGAAAAAUAAUAAAAUGAAAUAAAUUUAAAAGUAAAAUAAACAUAACCCUUUUAAGCAUUAAAAUUAAAAAUUAUGAGGCUUGUUGAAUUAUUACUGUUAUAAAUAAUUACAUACAUGUAUUUUUGAAACAGUCUUGCUCUUUCACCCAGGCUGCAGUGCAGUGGCAUAAUCACAGUUCACUGCGGCCUCAACCUCCCAGGCUCAGGUGAUCCUUGCACGUCUGCCUCCCAAGUAGCUGGGACUGCAGGUGUGCACCACCAUGCCUGGCUAAAUUUUUCUCUUUUGUAGAGACGGGUUUUGCGAUUUUGCCCACACUGGUCUUAAAGUCCUGGG